UCACCCCUCAAGCCCCCGGCUUGGUGUUGGACGGUCUGGUUUCGGUGACGAAACCCCUCCUAAAGUCAAUGACGGCGGCCUGUUUGACCCCGGUACACUGAGCUUCUUCACAGAGCACGUACCGGUUUCAAGGUUGACAGGCCUCGGUCUUCUCCCGUUAACGGGAAACUUCUUUCAA
This 178-nucleotide unclassified non-coding RNA is filed under the name uncultured Herpotrichiellaceae. Its description in RNAcentral is "sequence contains ITS2". The record is from RNAcentral. Lineage: Eukaryota; Fungi; Ascomycota; Eurotiomycetes; Chaetothyriales; Herpotrichiellaceae.